AUACGAAGGGGGCUAGCGUUGUUCGGAAUUACUGGGCGUAAAGCGCGCGUAGGCGGACUGAUCAGUUGGGGGUGAAAUCCCAGGGCUUAACCCUGGAACUGCCUCCAAUACUGUCAGUCUUGAGUUCGGGAGAGGUGAGUGGAAUUCCUAGUGUAGAGGUGAAAUUCGUAGAUAUUAGGAAGAACACCAGUGGCGAAGGCGGCUCACUGGCCCGAUACUGACGCUGAGGCGCGAAAGCGUGGGGAGCAAACAGGAUUAGAAACCCGAGUAGUCC
Molecule: ribosomal RNA, 274 nt
Filed under: uncultured bacterium
Lineage: Bacteria
Description: partial 16S ribosomal RNA
Rfam family: Bacterial small subunit ribosomal RNA
Source: RNAcentral